UACUCGAGUGGCGAACGGGUGAGUAACACGUGGGUGAUCUGCCCUGCACUUCGGGAUAAGCCUGGGAAACUGGGUCUAAUACCGGAUAGGACGAUGGUUUGGAUGCCAUUGUGGAAAGUUUUUUCGGUGUGGGAUGAGCUCGCGGCCUAUCAGCUUGUUGGUGGGGUAAUGGCCUACCAAGGCGUCGACGGGUAGCCGGCCUGAGAGGGUGUACGGCCACAUUGGGACUGAGAUACGGCCCAG
This 243-nucleotide ribosomal RNA is filed under the name uncultured Actinomycetales bacterium. Its description in RNAcentral is "partial 16S ribosomal RNA". It matches the Rfam family "Bacterial small subunit ribosomal RNA", at positions 88 to 334 of the family's 1533-position model. Lineage: Bacteria; Bacillati; Actinomycetota; Actinomycetes; Actinomycetales. The record is from RNAcentral.